RNAcentral lists this ribosomal RNA (491 nucleotides) under uncultured bacterium. RNAcentral describes it as "partial 16S ribosomal RNA". It matches the Rfam family "Bacterial small subunit ribosomal RNA", at positions 29 to 506 of the family's 1533-position model. The record is from RNAcentral.
AGUGAACGCUGGCGGUAGGCCUAACACAUGCAAGUCGAACGGCAGCACAGUAAGAGCUUGCUCUUACGGGUGGCGAGUGGCGGACGGGUGAGGAAUACAUCGGAAUCUACUUUUUCGUGGGGGAUAACGUAGGGAAACUUACGCUAAUACCGCAUACGACCUACGGGUGAAAGCAGGGGAUCUUCGGACCUUGCGCGAUUGAAUGAGCCGAUGUCGGAUUAGCUAGUUGGCGGGGUAAAGGCCCACCAAGGCGACGAUCCGUAGCUGGUCUGAGAGGAUGAUCAGCCACACUGGAACUGAGACACGGUCCAGACCCCGACGGGAGGCAGCAGUGGGGAAUAUUGGACAAUGGGCGCAAGCCUGAUCCAGCCAUACCGCGUGGGUGAAGAAGGCCUUCGGGUUGUAAAGCCCUUUUGUUGGGAAAGAAAAGCAGCAGGUUAAGACCCCGCUGUUCUGACGGUACCCAAAGAAUAAGCACCGGCUAACUUCGU